RNAcentral lists this ribosomal RNA (207 nucleotides) under uncultured bacterium. RNAcentral describes it as "partial 16S ribosomal RNA". It matches the Rfam family "Bacterial small subunit ribosomal RNA", at positions 568 to 774 of the family's 1533-position model. The record is from RNAcentral.
CGCGUAGGUGGUUUGGUUAGUCAGAUGUGAAAGCCCCGGGCUCAACCUGGGAACUGCAUUUGAUACUGCCUGGCUAGAGUAUGGUAGAGGGAAGUGGAAUUCCAGGUGUAGCGGUGAAAUGCGUAGAUAUCUGGAGGAACAUCAGUGGCGAAGGCGACUUCCUGGACCAAUACUGACACUGAGGUGCGAAAGCGUGGGUAGCAAACA